UACGUAGGGAGCGAGCGUUGUCCGGAUUCAUUGGGCGUAAAGAGCUCGUAGGCGGCUUGGCAAGUCGGGUGUGAAAACUCCAGGCUCAACCUGGAGACGCCACCCGAUACUGCCAUGGCUAGAGUCCGGUAGGGGACCACGGAAUUCCCGGUGUAGCGGUGAAAUGCGCAGAUAUCGGGAAGAACACCCGUGGCGAAGGCGGCUCUCUGGGACGGUACUGACGCUGAGACGCGAAAGCGUGGGGAGCGAACAGG
Molecule: ribosomal RNA, 254 nt
Filed under: uncultured bacterium
Lineage: Bacteria
Description: partial 16S ribosomal RNA
Rfam family: Bacterial small subunit ribosomal RNA
Source: RNAcentral